AACGAACGCUGGCGGCAUGCCUAACACAUGCAAGUCGAACGAAGUCUUCGGACUUAGUGGCGCACGGGUGCGUAACGCGUGGGAAUCUGCCCUUGGGUACGGAAUAACUCAGAGAAAUUUGUGCUAAUACCGUAUAAUGUCGUAAGACCAAAGAUUUAUCGCCCAAGGAUGAGCCCGCGUAAGAUUAGCUAGUUGGUGGGGUAAAAGCCUACCAAGGCGACGAUCUUUAGCUGGUCUGAGAGGAUGAUCAGCCACACUGGGACUGAGACACGGCCCAGACUCCUACGGGAGGCAGCAGUGGGGAAUAUUGGACAAUGGGCGAAAGCCUGAUCCAGCAAUGCCGCGUGAGUGAUGAAGGCCCUAG
RNAcentral lists this ribosomal RNA (364 nucleotides) under Sphingopyxis sp. NB-3B. RNAcentral describes it as "bacterial SSU rRNA". It matches the Rfam family "Bacterial small subunit ribosomal RNA", at positions 29 to 420 of the family's 1533-position model. Lineage: Bacteria; Pseudomonadati; Pseudomonadota; Alphaproteobacteria; Sphingomonadales; Sphingopyxidaceae. The record is from RNAcentral.